RNAcentral lists this ribosomal RNA (453 nucleotides) under uncultured Oomycota. Its description in RNAcentral is "LSU rRNA". It matches the Rfam family "Eukaryotic large subunit ribosomal RNA", at positions 326 to 628 of the family's 3401-position model. The record is from RNAcentral. Lineage: Eukaryota; Oomycota.
GUGCGAGACCGAUAGCGAACAAGUACCGUGAGGGAAAGAUGAAAAGAACUUUGAAAAGAGAGUUAAAGAGUACCUGAAACUGCUGAAAGGGAACCGAAUCGUAUCCAGUGUCUAUAAUCCAUGGCAUAUUUCAUUGGCGAGUGAGUGCGUGCAGCGUUUUGGAAGUGGUUUUCCGCUCCUGUCGUUGUUGUGCAUUUGCUUGCUGGUGCCCUGUGCUGUGGUGGGACGUCAGAGUCAGUUUGUGUGUCGCGGGAAAUGGUUAUUGGGGAGGUAGGUCGCUUCGGUGGCUAUUAUAUCCUGGUAACUAGUCGUCGUGGCUGAGACUGAGGUGCCUACAAUGUGCUUUCGAGUGUGCGGGUUUCUCGUGUGGCUGUUUGCUUUGAUAGCUUGCUAUGUUGGUGAAUAAGUUGUGCGAUUGAGACCUGUAUUAACUUGUUGCUGUUCGGGACUUUG